RNAcentral lists this ribosomal RNA (343 nucleotides) under uncultured bacterium. RNAcentral's name for it is "bacterial SSU rRNA". It matches the Rfam family "Bacterial small subunit ribosomal RNA", at positions 208 to 543 of the family's 1533-position model. The record is from RNAcentral.
GAAGCUGCCGCUUGAAGAGGGGCCCGCGGCCCAUCAGCUAGUUGGUAGGGUAACGGCCUACCAAGGCGACGACGGGUAGCUGGUCUGAGAGGACGACCAGCCACACGGGAAUUGAGAGACGGUCCCGACUCCUACGGGAGGCAGCAGUGGGGAAUCUUGGGCAAUGGGGGCAACCCUGACCCAGCGACGCCGCGUGGGGGACGAAGGCCUUCGGGUCGUAAACCCCUGUUGGGUGGGACGAAUAUCCUGCCGUGAAGAGCGGGAGGAUCUGACGGUACCACCAGAGAAAGCCCCGGCUAACUCCGUGCCAGCAGCCGCGGUAAUACGGAGGGGGCGAGUGUUG